RNAcentral lists this ribosomal RNA (253 nucleotides) under uncultured bacterium. RNAcentral describes it as "partial 16S ribosomal RNA". It matches the Rfam family "Bacterial small subunit ribosomal RNA", at positions 524 to 776 of the family's 1533-position model. The record is from RNAcentral.
UCCGGAGGGUGCAAACGUUAUCCGGAAUUACUGGGUUUAAAGGGUGCGUAGGCGGCUUCAUAAGUCAGGGGUGAAAGUCUAUCGCUUAACGAUAGAAUUGCCUUUGAUACUGUAAAGCUUGAAAGGGGUUGAGGUCAGCAGAAUGUGGCAUGUAGCGGUGAAAUGCAUAGAUAUGCCAUAGAACACCGAUUGCGAAGGCAGCUGGCUGGGCCUACUUUGACGCUGAGGCACGAAAGCGUGGGGAGAGAACAGG